Molecule: ribosomal RNA, 379 nt
Filed under: uncultured bacterium
Lineage: Bacteria
Description: bacterial SSU rRNA
Rfam family: Bacterial small subunit ribosomal RNA
Source: RNAcentral
AGCGAACGCUGGCGGCAGGCUUAACACAUGCAAGUCGAACGGGCGUAGCAAUACGUCAGUGGCAGACGGGUGAGUAACGCGUGGGAACGUACCUUUUGGUUCGGAACAACCCAGGGAAACUUGGGCUAAUACCGGAUAAGCCCUUACGGGGAAAGAUUUAUCGCCGAAAGAUCGGCCCGCGUCUGAUUAGCUAGUUGGUGUGGUAACGGCGCACCAAGGCGACGAUCAGUAGCUGGUCUGAGAGGAUGAUCAGCCACAUUGGGACUGAGACACGGCCCAAACUCCUACGGGAGGCAGCAGUGGGGAAUAUUGGACAAUGGGCGCAAGCCUGAUCCAGCCAUGCCGCGUGGAUGAUGAAGGCCCUAGGGUUGUAAAGUCC